This 1408-nucleotide unclassified non-coding RNA is filed under the name uncultured fungus. RNAcentral's name for it is "sequence contains 18S rRNA gene, ITS1, 5.8S rRNA gene, ITS2, 28S rRNA gene". The stretch from base 467 to 1408 matches the Rfam family "Eukaryotic large subunit ribosomal RNA", at positions 1 to 961 of the family's 3401-position model. Lineage: Eukaryota; Fungi. The record is from RNAcentral.
GGAAGGAUCAUUACCUAGAGUUGUAGGCUUUGCCUGCUAUCUCUUACCCAUGUCUUUUGAGUACCUUCGUUUCCUCGGCGGGUCCGCCCGCCGAUUGGACAAUUUAAACCAUUUGCAGUUGCAAUCAGCGUCUGAAAAAACAUAAUAGUUACAACUUUCAACAACGGAUCUCUUGGUUCUGGCAUCGAUGAAGAACGCAGCGAAAUGCGAUAAGUAGUGUGAAUUGCAGAAUUCAGUGAAUCAUCGAAUCUUUGAACGCACAUUGCGCCCCUUGGUAUUCCAUGGGGCAUGCCUGUUCGAGCGUCAUUUGUACCUUCAAGCUCUGCUUGGUGUUGGGUGUUUGUCUCGCCUCUGCGUGUAGACUCGCCUCAAAACAAUUGGCAGCCGGCGUAUUGAUUUCGGAGCGCAGUACAUCUCGCGCUUUGCACUCAUAACGACGACGUCCAAAAGUACAUUUUUACACUCUUGACCUCGGAUCAGGUAGGGAUACCCGCUGAACUUAAGCAUAUCAAUAAGCGGAGGAAAAGAAACCAACAGGGAUUGCCCUAGUAACGGCGAGUGAAGCGGCAACAGCUCAAAUUUGAAAUCUGGCGUCUUUGGCGUCCGAGUUGUAAUUUGCAGAGGGCGCUUUGGCAUUGGCAGCGGUCCAAGUUCCUUGGAACAGGACGUCACAGAGGGUGAGAAUCCCGUACGUGGUCGCUAGCCUUUACCGUGUAAAGCCCCUUCGACGAGUCGAGUUGUUUGGGAAUGCAGCUCUAAAUGGGAGGUAAAUUUCUUCUAAAGCUAAAUACUGGCCAGAGACCGAUAGCGCACAAGUAGAGUGAUCGAAAGAUGAAAAGCACUUUGGAAAGAGAGUUAAAAAGCACGUGAAAUUGUUGAAAGGGAAGCGCUUGCAGCCAGACUUGCCUGUAGUUGCUCAUCCGGGUUUUUACCCGGUGCACUCUUCUAUAGGCAGGCCAGCAUCAGUUUGGGCGGUUGGAUAAAGGUCUCUGUCAUGUACCUCUCUUCGGGGAGAACUUAUAGGGGAGACGACAUGCAACCAGCCUGGACUGAGGUCCGCGCAUCUGCUAGGAUGCUGGCGUAAUGGCUGUAAGCGGCCCGUCUUGAAACACGGACCAAGGAGUCUAACAUCUAUGCGAGUGUUUGGGUGUCAAGCCCGAGCGCGUAAUGAAAGUGAACGGAGGUGGGAACCUUUCGGGGUGCACCAUCGACCGAUCCUGAUGUCUUCGGAUGGAUUUGAGUAAGAGCAUAGCUGUUGGGACCCGAAAGAUGGUGAACUAUGCUUGAAUAGGGUGAAGCCAGAGGAAACUCUGGUGGAGGCUCGCAGCGGUUCUGACGUGCAAAUCGAUCGUCAAAUUUGGGCAUAGGGGCGAAAGACUAAUCGAACUAUCUAGUAGCUGGUUCCUGC